This 128-nucleotide ribosomal RNA is filed under the name Trichoderma koningii. Its description in RNAcentral is "partial 18S ribosomal RNA". It matches the Rfam family "Eukaryotic small subunit ribosomal RNA", at positions 1706 to 1831 of the family's 1831-position model. Lineage: Eukaryota; Fungi; Ascomycota; Sordariomycetes; Hypocreales; Hypocreaceae. The record is from RNAcentral.
GCGUCCGGACUGGCCCAGAGAGGUGGGCAACUACCACUCAGGGCCGGAAAGCUCUCCAAACUCGGUCAUUUAGAGGAAGUAAAAGUCGUAACAAGGUCUCCGUUGGUGAACCAGCGGAGGGAUCAUUA